RNAcentral lists this ribosomal RNA (643 nucleotides) under uncultured bacterium. RNAcentral's name for it is "bacterial SSU rRNA". It matches the Rfam family "Bacterial small subunit ribosomal RNA", at positions 232 to 885 of the family's 1533-position model. The record is from RNAcentral.
CGCGGCCUAUCAGCUUGUUGGUGGGGUAAUGGCCUACCAAGGCGACGAUAGGUAGCCGGCCUGAGAGGGCGACCGGCCACACUGGGACUGAGACACGGCCCAGACUCCUACGGGAGGCAGCAGUGGGGAAUAUUGCACAAUGGGCGAAAGCCUGAUGCAGCGACGCCGCGUGAGGGAUGACGGCCUUCGGGUUGUAAACCUCUUUCAGCAGGGACGAAGCGUAAGUGACGGUACCUGCAGAAGAAGCGCCGGCCGACUACGUGCCAGCAGCCGCGGUAAGACGUAGGGCGCGAGCGUUGUCCGGAUUUAUUGGGCGUAAAGAGCUCGUAGGCGGCUUGUCGCGUCGACUGUGAAAACCCGCAGCUCAACUGCGGGCCUGCAGUCGAUACGGGCAGGCUAGAGUUCGGUAGGGGAGACUGGAAUUCCUGGUGUAGCGGUGGAAUGCGCAGAUAUCAGGAGGAACACCGGUGGCGAAGGCGGGUCUCUGGGCCGAUACUGACGCUGAGAAGCGAAAGCGUGGGGAGCGAACAGGAUUAGAUACCCUGGUAGUCCACGCUGUAAACGUUGGGCGCUAGGUGUGGGGGACCUCUCCGGUUCUCUGUGCCGCAGCUAACGCAUUAAGCGCCCCGCCUGGGGAGUACGG